CGCGGCUCCCAUGGCAACAGGGACUAUAUAACCUGUGUCUAGCUGCUGCAGGCUUUAGCUGGAGCUGCUGCGAUCCAUCGGUCUCCAGGGAGCUGUGAUCUCCGCACACCAAGCACAGGGAGAAGCCAUCCAGCACCGCGUUGUUAUACCAGAGAGAUCUAGGGCCGGAUUAACCAAAACCCAUAAAGGAAUCACUCAGGAAGGAACCUAGCUAAUACAGAAGCUCAUUGGAACUGCACUGGAAAGCCAUUUCUGCCUGAACACGUUCAGGGCAGCAGGUGUGGGAGGCAGACACUUGGUCUCCAAGGGAGUUACCUGAAGCAUAAGCAAGAGGCAGGCUUAGGGUUUUGCUUUUCGGGUUAUUGCUGAGUAUAUGAGAGUAAGGAAGGGUGAUAUUACAAGAAAGCUUGGCUGAAGGGGCAGUGUGCGUACUGAGUUCUGAAUGCUGUGACGUUACCAGUCCUGUGUCAUUAACCCACAGAGGCAGAUAAGAAUGUGACCACCAGAGACAGAGAACAGGAGGAAUGCCUCACAGCUAGAAAUAUACACUCAUUAGCAGGUUCUCAGCAUGGAAAUUGCAGAAAAGAUCUCUGACAAUCCAGGUGGUUGAAUGGAGCAGAAAGCUGGAUGGGACAUACCUGAGUAUGGUUGCACAGCUCAACCUGCACGAUUCUCAAGCGUGCCCACAAAGAUCUCCAACCAUCCAAAAGAGAGAGAAGAUCCUUAUUAGAGACUGUAUGCUAAGAAGAAUGUAUAAGCAAGGUCUGAAUGAGCUCUCCCUGGACAUCUAGUGAUGAACGAGGGGCGAAGACUACAGGAACCAACCUUCUUUGCAUAGACUUGCCCACUCUGCCUAGGUGCACAGCAUG
This is a long non-coding RNA of Mauremys mutica (yellowpond turtle), 869 nucleotides long. RefSeq lists it as uncharacterized. The transcript has 4 exons. NCBI's taxonomy places the organism in Eukaryota, Metazoa, Chordata, Testudines, Geoemydidae. The record is from RefSeq and is a predicted model, not a curated record.